CCAAACUUGGUCAUUUAGAGGAAGUAAAAGUCGUAACAAGGUUUCCGUAGGUGAACCUGCGGAAGGAUCAUUACCGAGUACCGGGGCCCUCUGGGUCCCUACUCCCACCCUAUGUGUACCUGAUACCGUUGCCUCGGCGGGCCGAGGGCCCACCCUCGCCGGCCCCGCGGCUGGAGAGCGCCCGCCGGAGGUCUAUUUAAAACUCUCGUUCGAACCUGUAGUCUGAGUACUCUGUAAAGAAACUAAAACUUUCAACAACGGAUCUCUUGGUUCUGGCAUCGAUGAAGAACGCAGC
Molecule: unclassified non-coding RNA, 295 nt
Filed under: uncultured fungus
Lineage: Eukaryota; Fungi
Description: partial contains small subunit ribosomal RNA, internal transcribed spacer 1, and 5.8S ribosomal RNA
Rfam family: Eukaryotic small subunit ribosomal RNA (bases 1-73)
Source: RNAcentral